RNAcentral lists this ribosomal RNA (550 nucleotides) under bacterium BaP1-22. Its description in RNAcentral is "bacterial SSU rRNA". It matches the Rfam family "Bacterial small subunit ribosomal RNA", at positions 87 to 633 of the family's 1533-position model. The record is from RNAcentral.
UUGAUUCAGCGGCGGACGGGUGAGUAAUGCCUAGGAAUCUGCCUGGUAGUGGGGGACAACGUUUCGAAAGGAACGCUAAUACCGCAUACGUCCUACGGGAGAAAGCAGGGGACCUUCGGGCCUUGCGCUAUCAGAUGAGCCUAGGUCGGAUUAGCUUGUUGGUGAGGUAAUGGCUCACCAAGGCGACGAUCCGUAACUGGUCUGAGAGGAUGAUCAGUCACACUGGAACUGAGACACGGUCCAGACUCCUACGGGAGGCAGCAGUGGGGAAUAUUGGACAAUGGGCGAAAGCCUGAUCCAGCCAUGCCGCGUGUGUGAAGAAGGUCUUCGGAUUGUAAAGCACUUUAAGUUGGGAGGAAGGGCAGUAAGCUAAUACCUUGCUGUUUUGACGUUACCGACAGAAUAAGCACCGGCUAACUCUGUGCCAGCAGCCGCGGUAAUACAGAGGGUGCAAGCGUUAAUCGGAAUUACUGGGCGUAAAGCGCGCGUAGGUGGUUUGUUAAGUUGGAUGUGAAAGCCCCGGGCUCAACCUGGGAACUGCAUCCAAAAC